CUAUAUGUUUAACGGCCGCGGUAUUUUGACCGUGCGAAGGUAGCGCAAUCACUUGUCUUUUAAAUAAAGACCUGUAUGAAUGGCAUCACGAGGGCUCAACUGUCUCCUCUUUCAAGUCAAUGAAAUUGAUCUCCCCGUGCAGAAGCGGGGAUAAACACAUAAGACGAGAAGACCCUAUGGAGCUUUAGACACUAAAGCAGACCGACAUUAAGACCCCAGACACGGGACACAAAUAAAUUGGGGCCUGCCCUAAUGUCUUUGGUUGGGGCGACCGUGGAGAACAAUAAAACCUCCACAAGGACCGAAUGUAUAGCAUUCACAACCAAGAACGACAGUUCUAAUUAACAGAAUUUCUGACCAAUAAGAUCCGGCAACGCCGAUCAAUGAACCGAGUUACCCUAGGGAUAACACGCGCAAUCUCCUCUUAUCAAAGAGUCCAUAUCGACGAGGAGGUUUACGAAACUCGAUGUUGGAUCAGGACAUCCUAAUGGUGCAGCCG
RNAcentral lists this ribosomal RNA (499 nucleotides) under Epinephelus aeneus (white grouper). RNAcentral describes it as "partial 16S ribosomal RNA". It matches the Rfam family "Bacterial large subunit ribosomal RNA", at positions 1913 to 2561 of the family's 2925-position model. The record is from RNAcentral. Lineage: Eukaryota; Metazoa; Chordata; Actinopteri; Perciformes; Serranidae.